UACGUAGGGGGCAAGCGUUGUCCGGAAUUAUUGGGCGUAAAGAGCGCGUAGGCGGUCCGAUAAGUCGGCUGUGAAAGUCAAGGGCUCAACCCUUGAAAGCCGGCCGAUACUGUCGGACUAGAGUCCGGAAGAGGCGAGUGGAAUUCCCGGUGUAGCGGUGAAAUGCGCAGAUAUCGGGAGGAACACCAAUGGCGAAGGCAGCUCGCUGGGACGGUACUGCCGCUGAGGCGCGAAAGCGUGGGGAGCAAACAGG
RNAcentral lists this ribosomal RNA (253 nucleotides) under uncultured bacterium. RNAcentral's name for it is "partial 16S ribosomal RNA". It matches the Rfam family "Bacterial small subunit ribosomal RNA", at positions 524 to 776 of the family's 1533-position model. The record is from RNAcentral.